AGUUCAAGAGUACGUGAAACCGUUCAGGGGUAAACCUGAGAAACCCAAAAGAUCGAAUGGGGAGAUUCAUCGUCAGCGGUGCUGGUAUGCACGCGGUUCGCGAUGCCGGAGACUUCGGUCUCGUGGCACGCGUCCGCGUGUUUGUACUGCCUGGCAUCGUCGGCGUGCACUUCUCCCCUAGUAGGACGUCGCGACCCGUUGGGUGUCGGUCUACGGCCCGGGUGGGUGCCUGUCUCGUGUGACACCUCACGGUGUCACUGCGAGGCAGACCCCCGGCUGCCCGACCGGCUGCCCGGCGGUACUCGCAAGGUAUCCGGCCGCAAAUAUUCGAACUGCGUCCGGCCCGUCGCAAGCGAGGCAAGUGUUUCCCGAAUGUACGGAUCUAAUGCCGUCAUCGGGCCUAGCCAGCUGUUGGCUGACGGUGUCCUGGGACUGGCUGUAACAAUUAUGAUACCGGUCAGCGACGCUACUGCUUUGGGUACUUUCAGGACCCGUCUUGAAACACGGACCAAGGAGUCUAACAUGUGCGCGAGUCAUUGGGAACUAUUAAGCCUAAAGGCGCAAUGAAAGUGAAGGUCGGCCGUGCGCCGACCGAGGGAGGAUGGGCCGCGUCACGAUGCGGUCCCGCACUCCCGGGGCGUCUCGUUCUCAUUGCGAGAAGAGGCGCACCCAGAGCGUACACGUUGGGACCCGAAAG
Molecule: ribosomal RNA, 697 nt
Filed under: Strongylopsis sp. NMBS Ichn-2566
Lineage: Eukaryota; Metazoa; Arthropoda; Insecta; Hymenoptera; Ichneumonidae
Description: partial large subunit ribosomal RNA
Rfam family: Eukaryotic large subunit ribosomal RNA
Source: RNAcentral